UCGGCCCUAGUGGCGGACGGGUGAGUAACGCGUAGGAAUCUGUCCAUGGGUGGGGGAUAACAGCGGGAAACUGCUGCUAAUACCGCAUGACACCUGAGGGUCAAAGGCGCGAGUCGCCUGUGGAGGAGCCUGCGUCCGAUUAGCUAGUUGGUGGGGUAACGGCCUACCAAGGCUGCGAUCGGUAGCUGGUCUGAGAGGAUGAUCAGCCACAUUGGGACUGAGACACGGCCCAAACUCCUACGGGAGGCAGCAGUGGGGAAUAUUGGACAAUGGGCGCAAGCCUGAUCCAGCAAUGCCGCGUGGAUGAAGAAGGUCUUCGGAUUGUAAAGUCCUUUCGGCGGGGACGAUGAUGACGGUACCCGCAGAAGAAGCCCCGGCUAACUUCGUGCCAGCCGCCGCCGUAACAC
Molecule: ribosomal RNA, 407 nt
Filed under: uncultured bacterium
Lineage: Bacteria
Description: bacterial SSU rRNA
Rfam family: Bacterial small subunit ribosomal RNA
Source: RNAcentral